Molecule: small nuclear RNA, 106 nt
Organism: Choloepus didactylus (southern two-toed sloth)
Lineage: Eukaryota; Metazoa; Chordata; Mammalia; Pilosa; Megalonychidae
Source: RefSeq, a predicted model, not a curated record
GUGUUCAUUUUGGCAGCACAUAUAUUAAAAUUGGAAUGAUAUAGAAAAGAUUAGCAUGGCCCCGUACAAGGAUGAUACACAAAUUCGUGAAGGAUUCCAUUUAAAA